RNAcentral lists this ribosomal RNA (289 nucleotides) under Blastocystis hominis. RNAcentral describes it as "partial 18S ribosomal RNA". It matches the Rfam family "Eukaryotic small subunit ribosomal RNA", at positions 42 to 348 of the family's 1831-position model. RNAcentral also lists the same sequence under 1 other name. The record is from RNAcentral. Lineage: Eukaryota; Bigyra; Opalinata; Blastocystidae.
GAUUAAGCCAUGCAUGUGUAAGUGUAAAUAGUUAAGUUUGGAACUGCGAAUGGCUCAUUAUAUCAGUUAUAGUUUAUUUGGUGAAGUGUACUACUUGGAUAACCGUAGUAAUUCUAGGGCUAAUACAUGAGAAAGUCCUCUGGUGAGGUGUGUUUAUUAGAAUGAAAACCAUAUGCUUCGGCAUGAUAGUGAGUAAUAGUAACCUAUCGUAUCGCAUGCUUAAUGUAGCGAUGAGUCUUUCAAGUUUCUGCCCUAUCAGCUUUCGAUGGUAGUAUAUGGGCCUACCAUG